RNAcentral lists this ribosomal RNA (206 nucleotides) under uncultured bacterium. Its description in RNAcentral is "partial 16S ribosomal RNA". It matches the Rfam family "Bacterial small subunit ribosomal RNA", at positions 568 to 774 of the family's 1533-position model. The record is from RNAcentral.
CGCGUAGGCGGCUUGGCAAGUGGAAGGUGAAAUCCCUCGGCUUAACCGAGGAACUGCCCUCCAAACUGCUUCGCUUGAGACCGGGAGAGGUGAGUGGAAUUCCCAGUGUAGCGGUGAAAUGCGUAGAUAUUGGGAGGAACACCAGUGGCGAAGGCGGCUCACUGGACCGGUACUGACGCUGAUGCGCGAAAGCGUGGGAGCAAACG